CAGGGCAUGGUGCUGCCAGGGAUCUUGGCAACUGGACAAUUCCCACCACUGGAAGGAACAAAGCAGGAAAGAUGCGUAAACAGAGAGAAUUUGGAUACCAGCUGGAGAGAACACCUCGCUUGUGCUGGUUCACUCAGCACAACACAUGUCCAUCUGAGGUGCCACGCUAGGCUCUAAGGGCAUAAUGACAAUGAGACAUGCCCCUUGCCCUGAAGAGUCCUGCCACAGGGAAAGCACUGUGGGCUUACAGGAGUUGAAAGAUGGCUGUGGGAACAUGCAGGAGCAGCGACCAGCCUCUCGGCGCUCAGGAGCAAGCUCCAGCCUGUGGUUCCUGAAGACGUCCUGCUGAGCACAAGGACAGCAGGCACAGGUCUUCGCUCUCAGACUUUCCCUCUGGUUGCUGCCCCGAGAGUGGGCCAGCCCAGGUCAGGGGAGCUGAUGACCGGCUGCUGCAAGGGAUGCCGAAGGCGCAGAGCGAAAUAGCAGAAUGUGGAGAGAGGGGACAGGAGGAUGAUGAGGGCCAAGCCCUGCAAAGAGGAGGAAGUCACUGGCAUGAAAGCAGUGGGGGCUGCAGAACAUGUAGGCUGGUGGAGGUCAGAGCACAUCUGCUCCUGGGGAGGAGCAGCUCGGGAGAGGCCGGAAGCUGCACUGGAGCUGGGGCGGCAGGCAUGUCGUCCUCGUCAGACAUAUGAGAACACAGAGGUGCAGAGGGGCCGAGCAACUGCUUCAGAGACACACAGCAUGAGUGCAGCCAGCCCCACUCCCCGUAUGGGAGCCCCGGGUGACAGGAAGGACCUCAGCCACCCCUCCAAGGAGCUGGAUCUUCAUCCUGAAGGCACCUGCGGAGCCCUAGGGAUGUGCAGCAGGAGGAAGGAGCCGACCUGCAUUCUUAGAUGCUCACUCUGACAGCUCUCCGUGCAGUGGACAAGCUGAUGCAAGAGACGCAAAGCUCCACAGAGAGUGGGAAGGGAAGUCAGAGGGACCAGGGCCAGGCUGGAGAUGGCCGUACAGGAGAAACAGCCUGCAAAGAAGGGAGGAGGAGCCAGAACGUGCCCAGCCAAGGCAAAGCAGACUUGGGUCUGUGUAUCAGUCAUUUUGGCCAAUGAGGUGGGUACAAGAGAGAAAAUAAAGGGGAAGACAUAAAUUUGGAGGGCUGGGGAGGAUUUUAUUGUGGGCUAGCCGAGGCUGGCUCCCGGGAGACAAGUAGAGACCUGGAUCUCAGGAUCACCGCCCGGGACUUCAGAUCCAUUGAGGCUUGGAAGGGAGCCAGCUCCCCUGUCCCCUCCCAAGGAGAUGGUGGGGAUUGGGGAUGAUGGAAUCAGCCCCCAGAGGCCAGAAAGCUCCAGCCUCCAGGGGGUGGAUAGAGGAAGGGGACGCUGGGAAGCCAGGCCUGCCAGAGGGGCAGCAGGGAACCCAGGGCAGCGCUGCCAGGGCAGUUGUGCCAGGAAAUUGUUUUGAGGGUUGAGCAGGCAAUGGGGCUCCCCAGAGGAGCCUUUAGGGCACUGUAGGUCUGAGAAGUAGGGUCCACUCGGCCAAAUCCCGAGGGCAGCAUGGUUUGGCCCCGGUGGUUUUAAAAAAUGGUCCUGAGGGAAGGAAGCAAGUGAAGAGAGGGACGUCACAGAAACAACCCGAAGACAUUCAGGGACUCUGAUUGCAAAGAGGAGCAGAAACGGCCAGUUUCACAAGAGCCGAGCGGGAGACAGGGUGCCAUUGGGAUUUCUGGUGAGAGAGCUGUCAAGGGGAAAGAGCUGGCUGUGAGACUAAUAUUUCAGAUCUGAAAUGGAGAGGGCAGGGGGCUCAGGGCUGCCAAGGAGGAUGGGCUUCCUUCCCUCUAGCAUGCGAGGGAGAAGAGGCCAGGAGGAGCAAGCAGGCUAGAAGGCUCUGCCCCUGGAGGAUUCGGCUUUGGGUGGAAGGGAGGUUGCCGGGAGCUGAGGUUGGGAGUAUCCUUGGGAAGCAGGCUGAGGAGACUGCAGGGGUUUGCCAUCGCUGUGAGAGGGAGGAGGACAUGCAGCUGGCCAGACACUGAAGAAGGACUUUUGUGCCACCCUGGGACUAAGAAUGCUCAGACGCCUCCUGAGCAGAGGCGGCAUGGGGCUGGCUCAGGUGCACAGGUGCUGCUGAGGCAGCUCCCAGAGAAGGAGGAGUCAGAAGUCCCUUGCGGGCAUGGGAACGUGACACCCUGCACCACGGACCAGGCCUCGAGGUAACUCAGCAGAGCACGUAGGACCGGUGACAGGGACAGAAGCGACUCAGCACAUCACAUCCUCUGGAAGAGGGUGAUCUGCCCAGAGCUGGGGGUCCCAAGACCGCAGCCCACAGCGUGAGACAGUGGCAUUUAGCCAGGAGCCAUCCGGGAGCUGCUCUGGGCACCCCUGCCUUGCUAGGUCUAGAUCCCCUGCCGACAGCAUUGCCGACCAGACAGGGAGUGGUGGUGGGAGGAAGCCCGCCCUUCCCCUCCCUCUCUCGGUAGCCACAGUCCAGUGCUGCCUUUCCUCAUUACCUGUGCACCCUCACCCACAUGGAGAGUAUGAGGUGGUCCUGCGCUCACGUACCCCCAUGCUGGGCCAGUGAUGACAGCUAUCACUGUGCCAGCCCCCAGGGAGAGAGAUUCAGAGUCAAUUGCAGGUCCCAAAUAUUGUGAAGUGGGCAUUAUUUUCACUUUACAGUCUCAGAAAGGAGGCUUGGAGAAGUCGACCAACCUUUGCCUGUGUCACAUAGUUUGAAAGGAGCAGAGCCGAGAUUUAAGCCAGGCCUGAAGAGCAAAAACCCAUUAUAAUGGGCUCUCCUGCUCCACCUGCUUUGAAGGACUGAGAAUGUACUCACAAUUCCAUCCAUCUGUCCAUCCGUCCAUCCACCCAACAUGGAAGCAUUUACUAGCCUCCCAAUUCUGCCUCGAGAUUUAGAAUGGCUAUAUUUAGCAUAAACAGGAAAAGGUUCCAAGGAGCUGAGGCAUCAGGCAGAUGGGAUGCAGUGGGACCCAUUCUUAUGCAAUCUUCAGAUUGCCUUCUACAGCCGGAAGAACCCCACAAACCUCGCCAGUCUCCUCCCCUUGUUCCCAUUUACAGAACAGCAGAGGGGGUGGGGCUGGGAAGGAAGCAGCUCUUCUCUUGUCAACUACUGGCUGUGACCUAAACAGUCCUAGGGGCUCCCUGUACUCUGCACACUGCAGGGGCCUUUGGGACCUUUUCAAAGCACCUCCAGGAAUGUUCCAUGCACUUCAGUGCUGGGAUAAAAAUUCAGGCGGGCUUAGGGCACCUAAGCAUGUUAGGGUCCCUGCUGCGCCUUCAUUCUGCCUCCUCAGCGCCUACGCCUACCUCAUCACCAUCGCCCACCAGCCCCCACCCACACAGGAAGUACAGCUUCCCUGCUCCGUCCUCCUCCUGGCCUGGUGGAAACUGAGCCAGGAAUGGGGGAUCAGUGUGCAAGCAGCCACGGACAUGGGCCUUGGUGUCCUGAGUCUCACUGAAUCCUCUCAAGAAGUUUGUGUUAGAGCAAAGGCUGCUGGUGAGUGUGACUAGAAGGUAAAGGACACGCAGGAGCGGAGCGCUAUAGGCAAGUCAAAGCCAUGGAGAAGCUGAGGUACAGGUCCUGGAGUGUGGCUGGACUGCUCACUAGAGCCCUGCUGGGUGAUGGAGGCAGGGGCUCCAUCUUGCUGGACGCCAUGGGAGGGGGGGGCAGAGUGCUCUGCCAAUCUGCCUCACUAUCUGUGGCACCCUGGGGCGUGGGGGCCUCUCGAUUUCCAGGCACAUCUGUGCGUACAAUAAAUCAUCAGGGCCUCUACGCACGAGUCAGGGCUUGCUGGGGGAGGGUGGCAGGGGAGCCGGACUCACCACACCCCACUGGUGUCCACUCUGGCCUCCUGCCCUUCUCUUUCCUGCCAGGAGUCCGGCAUCAGCUGGACAGCCCCCAGUGAAGGCUGUCCCCCACCCCGUGAAGUGUGACGCGGACAGCCACCCACCACCACUCCCUCUUGCUCUUCCAUGAAGACACAGUCACCCCUCCUGCUUCCCUGACUCCACUCCAUGUGAUCAGUCUCCCAGAGCUCAGUAUACACGCCACUGCCUCUUCCCUGGACCUGCCGAGAGACCCCACAGGAAGCCACUGCCUCAGCCUAGGAGUGGUUCCUCUAGGCUUGUUUUCAAGUGGGAGCAAACAGGCUCAGAGCAGCUGAAGUGCCGCCAGAUGACACGUAGCUAGCAAGAGACAGACCUGGCCUUGGAACUUCGAAACCCUGCCCACGUCUGAUGUCACUGAUGGGGGACAGUGAGACGGACGUAUCACCUACCGCCAGAGAUUCAGGUUCUUGUAUCUUCAAAGAGCAAAUGCUGUCUGCCUUUUCCCCUCCACCUGUCUGGAGACUUGUCAGACCAAGAGCAGACAGGAGGCUGCAGGCCAUCUUCAGAGGGGUAGGCCCCACUCCACCUCCUCCCAAGACCCUUCAGGGAGAGGGGCCAGGUAUGCACCCAAAACAGAGCUCCAAGAGCAGGCUGUGUGCCCCUUCCCCAUGGAGCUGUGUGGAGGGCAGAACAGGAUGGGCACAGGGCAGGGAGAGGAAAGCAGGACUCCCACUGAACAGCCCUCUCACAACCGGGAGAUGGGGAGGGACAAGGGCAGAGGAGCAAGUCAGUGCACUUGGGGUGGGGGAGAGGUCAGUGAGCUACCUGAGACCAGCCUGAGGGCUGCUCCAGCGAGAAGGGGCCUCUGUCCCCACCCCCACUGCUCGAAUGCCC
RNAcentral lists this long non-coding RNA (4730 nucleotides) under Heterocephalus glaber (naked mole-rat). RNAcentral describes it as "lncRNA (ENSHGLG00100045608.1)". The record is from RNAcentral. Lineage: Eukaryota; Metazoa; Chordata; Mammalia; Rodentia; Bathyergidae.